GUGAGGAGCCUUUUGCCGUGAUUCUCAAAUGUCUUUGCCUGAGGCAGAAUUGCACCGCCCUUGCCAGGGACUGGGCUAAGUAUUCUGUGCAGGUUCGCUCUCAGAGCUUUUGUUCCCUGUUCACUUUCUGUAGAGCUCUGGAGGACAGGAAUGAAAAUGAUGGCCUCCCAAUCUCCGGCCCAGAGAAGCUGAGAGCUCAGGACCCCACUCCUCAGAGCACCCUCGGAGAAAAGCAAUCACUCCCUCCUGUCUCCCUGGUCUCCGGCCGUGUUCUAUGCUCACCCAGCCUGUGACCAAGCAUUUCUAUCUCUGGCACACAGCCCCAUUUGGAGUCUCCAAACCCAGCAGGUUCCUGCCAUGCUGCUACUCCCAGAGGAAGGUGACAGAAACCACUUCUGGGCAAAUUACCAACAAUAACAAGACAGUUUAUUUGGAAAAAGAGCUGGGGUAGAGAAUAGGAAUCAUGGGAAUAACUGGGUAAGUGAAGCCAACA
Molecule: long non-coding RNA, 493 nt
Filed under: Mustela putorius furo (domestic ferret)
Lineage: Eukaryota; Metazoa; Chordata; Mammalia; Carnivora; Mustelidae
Description: lncRNA (ENSMPUG00000028219.1)
Source: RNAcentral